GACCUGGUGGUGGAGUGGUUACCGUGCCUGCCAUAAAUAAGCCAAUGUGUUGAUGCCUUUAAGCAGGAGAGCCCCGUUCGAUUCGGGGUCAGGUCA
Non-coding RNA from Mycena latifolia, 96 nucleotides. The record is from the annotation of a GenBank genome assembly. Lineage: Eukaryota; Fungi; Basidiomycota; Agaricomycetes; Agaricales; Mycenaceae.